Chelonia mydas (Green sea turtle) is the source of this 167-nucleotide long non-coding RNA. RefSeq lists it as uncharacterized. NCBI's taxonomy places the organism in Eukaryota, Metazoa, Chordata, Testudines, Cheloniidae. The transcript has 3 exons. The record is from RefSeq and is a predicted model, not a curated record.
UUAUUCCUGUCCUUUGUUUACUGUCUUUUAACCAGUUACUGAUUCAUGAGAGGACCUGCCCUCUUAACCCAUGACUGCUUACUUUGCCUAAGAGCCUUUGGAGAGGGACCUUGUCAAAGGCUUUCUGAAAAUACAAGUAUGCUAUAUCCACUAGUUCAUUCCCUUCC